This 751-nucleotide ribosomal RNA is filed under the name Cronobacter sakazakii. RNAcentral's name for it is "bacterial SSU rRNA". It matches the Rfam family "Bacterial small subunit ribosomal RNA", at positions 75 to 818 of the family's 1533-position model. Lineage: Bacteria; Pseudomonadati; Pseudomonadota; Gammaproteobacteria; Enterobacterales; Enterobacteriaceae. The record is from RNAcentral.
GCAGCUUGCUGCUCUGCUGACGAGUGGCGGACGGGUGAGUAAUGUCUGGGAAACUGCCUGAUGGAGGGGGAUAACUACUGGAAACGGUAGCUAAUACCGCAUAACGUCUACGGACCAAAGUGGGGGACCUUCGGGCCUCAUGCCAUCAGAUGUGCCCAGAUGGGAUUAGCUAGUAGGUGGGGUAACGGCUCACCUAGGCGACGAUCCCUAGCUGGUCUGAGAGGAUGACCAGCCACACUGGAACUGAGACACGGUCCAGACUCCUACGGGAGGCAGCAGUGGGGAAUAUUGCACAAUGGGCGCAAGCCUGAUGCAGCCAUGCCGCGUGUAUGAAGAAGGCCUUCGGGUUGUAAAGUACUUUCAGCGGGGAGGAAGGUGUUGUGGUUAAUAACCACAGCAAUUGACGUUACCCGCAGAAGAAGCACCGGCUAACUCCGUGCCAGCAGCCGCGGUAAUACGGAGGGUGCAAGCGUUAAUCGGAAUUACUGGGCGUAAAGCGCACGCAGGCGGUCGGUUAAGUCAGAUGUGAAAUCCCCGGGCUCAACCUGGGAACUGCAUUUGAAACUGGUCAGCUUGAGUCUCGUAGAGGGGGGUAGAAUUCCAGGUGUAGCGGUGAAAUGCGUAGAGAUCUGGAGGAAUACCGGUGGCGAAGGCGGCCCCCUGGACGAAGACUGACGCUCAGGUGCGAAAGCGUGGGGGAGCAAACAGGAUUAGAUACCCUGGUAGUCCACGCCGUAAACGAUGUCGACUU